AUACGGAGGGAGCAAGCGUUAUUCGGAAUCACUGGGCGUAAAGGACGCGUAGGCGGGUUUGUAAGUCAGGUGUGAAAUCCUACAGCUCAACUGUAGAACUGCACUUGAAACUACAGACCUAGAGUAUGGAAGGGGCAGAUGGAAUUAGUGGUGUAGGGGUAAAAUCCGUAGAUAUCACUAGGAAUACCGAAAGCGAAGGCGAUCUGCUGGGACAUCACUGACGCUGAGGCGUGAAGCGUGGGGAGCAAACAGGAUUAGAAACCCCAGUAGUCC
RNAcentral lists this ribosomal RNA (273 nucleotides) under uncultured bacterium. Its description in RNAcentral is "partial 16S ribosomal RNA". It matches the Rfam family "Bacterial small subunit ribosomal RNA", at positions 523 to 796 of the family's 1533-position model. The record is from RNAcentral.